This 257-nucleotide long non-coding RNA is filed under the name Mytilus galloprovincialis (Mediterranean mussel). The record is from RNAcentral. Lineage: Eukaryota; Metazoa; Mollusca; Bivalvia; Mytilida; Mytilidae.
AACACGAACAACACCAACAGGGGACCCUAUAGAACGUCCUAUUUUAGAUAUAUAACGUUGAGAAAACAGGAGAUCCUGCAGACCGCCCAAGGGAUCAUAAAAGCCUUAUAGUAUAUACAUGAAAAACAAACUACAGGGGGACCUAUAGAAUUUCCUUUCUCAGAUGCAUAAUUUUUAACAAAAGAGGAUCCUGUAGACCGCCCUGGGGAUCCUGUAGAACGACCUAUAGUAUAAACAUGAAAAACAAUCAAUAGGGG